AUUGAACGCUGGCGGCAGGCUUAACACGUGCAAGUCGAGCGGGGGAAGGUAGCUUGCUACCGGACCUAGCGGCGGACGGGUGAGUAAUGCUUAGGAAUCUGCCUAUUAGUGGGGGACAACAUCUCGAAAGGGAUGCUAAUACCGCAUACGUCCUACGGGAGAAAGCAGGGGAUCUUCGGACCUUGCGCUAAUAGAUGAGCCUAAGUCGGAUUAGCUAGUUGGUGGGGUAAAGGCCUACCAAGGCGACGAUCUGUAGCGGGUCUGAGAGGAUGAUCCGCCAGACUGGGACUGAGACACGGCCCAGACUCCUACGGGAGGCAGCAGUGGGGAAUAUUGGACAAUGGGGGGAACCCUGAUCCAGCCAUGCCGCGUGUGUGAAGAAGGCCUUAUGGUUGUAAAGCACUUUAAGCGAGGAGGAGGCUACUCUAGUUAAUACCUAGGGAUAGUGGACGUUACUCGCAGAAUAAGCACCGGCUUACUCUGUGCCAGCAGCCGCCGCGG
RNAcentral lists this ribosomal RNA (501 nucleotides) under uncultured bacterium. Its description in RNAcentral is "partial 16S ribosomal RNA". It matches the Rfam family "Bacterial small subunit ribosomal RNA", at positions 30 to 523 of the family's 1533-position model. The record is from RNAcentral.